RNAcentral lists this small nuclear RNA (173 nucleotides) under Paramormyrops kingsleyae. Its description in RNAcentral is "U2 spliceosomal RNA (ENSPKIG00000011300.1)". It matches the Rfam family "U2 spliceosomal RNA". Rfam says of the family: U2 is a small nuclear RNA (snRNA) component of the spliceosome (involved in pre-mRNA splicing). Complementary binding between U2 snRNA (in an area lying towards the 5' end but 3' to hairpin I) and the branchpoint sequence (BPS) of the intron results the bulging out of an unpaired adenosine, on the BPS, which initiates a nucleophilic attack at the intronic 5' splice site, thus starting the first of two transesterification reactions that mediate splicing. Lineage: Eukaryota; Metazoa; Chordata; Actinopteri; Osteoglossiformes; Mormyridae. The record is from RNAcentral.
AUUGCUUUUCUGCCUUUUGGCAAAGAUUAAGUGUGGGAUAUGUUUUUAUCAAUUUAAUAUCUGAUAUGUCCCUCAUAGUGUAUUAAAUUAUUUUUUUUAGGAUGAGAUGUUGGAAGAAAGACUUUCUCUGUCCAAUUGAUGCAUCGACUGAGUGUUGCACUGAGUCAACUGAU